AGUAAACACAGAACACAUCCUCUCCAUCUCCAGGGCCCUUUUCCUCUCGCUCUGAAUGCUCAGGUUUGUGUCAUCAUUAGUUCAGCUUUUGUGGGCCUGAUACGUGGGGAAGAAGGUGGCCAGAGGCUGGAAGGUGACAGACGCUGCCUGCAGCCCGCAGAGCUCGGGUGGUGUGUACACAGCAUGGGUUCGGGCCCAGCAAAGGCAGAUGUCACUCAUGAACUCCAAGAACGCUGUCUUCCUCUGCAGACCCAUGGAAUAGCUAGCUGGGACUGAGCUCUCCAGGUCUGAUUCGGAGGUGAAGCUGUUGGCCAGUCAUGGAGACUGUCUCCUCACAAAUCAUCUGGGAGGUGCAGGCGGGAGAAGCAAGGCCCAGGGAAGCUGACUCAUCCAAGACUUGGGAGGUAAGUGCGUCUGUGAACCGACAGCUGGCUUUGGGAGGGUU
This 445-nucleotide long non-coding RNA is filed under the name Mustela putorius furo (domestic ferret). Its description in RNAcentral is "lncRNA (ENSMPUG00000024518.1)". The record is from RNAcentral. Lineage: Eukaryota; Metazoa; Chordata; Mammalia; Carnivora; Mustelidae.